UUUCGCAAUGCCCGAAAGGGUGACGAAGCGACGCCGCGUGGGUGAGGAAGGCCUUCGGGUUGUAAGGCCCUGUCAGGAGUUAAGAAAUGUAAGUGCGCUAAUAUCGCAUUUAUUUGACGAAGGCUCCAAAGGAAGUCACGGCUAACUCUGUGCCAGCAGCCGCGGUAAUACAGAGGUGGCAAGCGUUGUUCGGAAUUAUUGGGCGUAAAGAGCACGUAGGUGGGUUUGUAAGUCAGAUGUGAAAGCCUUCUGUUCAACGGAAGAAUUGCAUCUGAAACUGCGAGUCUUGAGUGUAGGAGGGGAGAAUGGAACUUCUGGUGGAGCGGUGAAAUGCGUAGAUAUCAGAAGGAACGCCGGCGGCGAAAGCGAUUCUCUGGCCUAUUACUGACACUCAGUGUGCGGAAGCUAGGGGAGCAAACGGGAUUAGAUACCCCGGUAGUCCUAGCCGUAAACGAUGGGCACUAAGUAGAGGGGUUUUA
This 479-nucleotide ribosomal RNA is filed under the name uncultured bacterium. RNAcentral's name for it is "bacterial SSU rRNA". It matches the Rfam family "Bacterial small subunit ribosomal RNA", at positions 364 to 833 of the family's 1533-position model. The record is from RNAcentral.